RNAcentral lists this ribosomal RNA (209 nucleotides) under uncultured bacterium. RNAcentral's name for it is "partial 16S ribosomal RNA". It matches the Rfam family "Bacterial small subunit ribosomal RNA", at positions 524 to 731 of the family's 1533-position model. The record is from RNAcentral.
GACAGAGGGUGCAAACGUUGUUCGGAAUUACUGGGCGUAAAGCGCGUGUAGGCUGCUUCGCAAGUCGGAUGUGAAAGCCCUGGGCUCAACCCAGGAAGUGCAUUCGAAACUGCAGAGCUGGAGUCCUGGAGAGGAAGGCGGAAUGCUUGGUGUAGAGGUGAAAAUUCGUAGAUAUCAAGCGGAACACCGGUGGCGAAGGCGGCCUUCUG